Long non-coding RNA from Mangifera indica (mango), 489 nucleotides. RefSeq lists it as uncharacterized. The transcript has 2 exons. NCBI's taxonomy places the organism in Eukaryota, Viridiplantae, Streptophyta, Magnoliopsida, Sapindales, Anacardiaceae. The record is from RefSeq and is a predicted model, not a curated record.
AUUAUUUUAUAUAUAUGAAUCUCCCCAUUUUGUACUAUCGGCAUUAUGCUUUGUUGUUUUUAAGAAAAGGGUUUUAGUUUUACCAGGAGAGUCAUCAGUCAGACCCUUGAAAAUAAUCAAAAAAAAAUCUCAGAUUCCACAGAGAUCAUCACAAACUAAGAGAAAGAGAGAGAAAGAGGAAGAGGGCAAGUGGAUCCCAAAUUAAAAUGCUGCUGCUUCAUUUCAUUUUCACACUGCCAUUCUCAGAUCGGAUCACAUUUAUUUCUUUCACUCAAAUUCAUCAGAGACCAUCAACAGCUUUCUUUUUUCAUUGGGGAAGUGAGAGAGUUUGCAAGGUUUGAAGAAGCCGCUGGGAUUUGGUUUUAAUUGUUUGUUGAUUUGCUGCAGUUUGGAAACUGUAAAUUAGCAUCAAAUUUAAAUGCUGGUCAAACCUAGAUUUCUGCUCAUUUGAUUCUCUAAUUAUAAUAAAUUAGUUUUGUAGAUUUUUAA